CAGUCGCCGCGGUAAUACAGAGGGUGCAAGCGUUAAUCGGAAUUACUGGGCGUAAAGCGCGCGUAGGUGGUUUGUUAAGUUGGAUGUGAAAUCCCCGGGCUCAACCUGGGAACUGCAUUCAAAACUGACUGACUAGAGUAUGGUAGAGGGUGGUGGAAUUUCCUGUGUAGCGGUGAAAUGCGUAGAUAUAGGAAGGAACACCAGUGGCGAAGGCGACCACCUGGACUAAUACUGACACUGAGGUGCGAAAGCGUGGGGAGCAAACAGGAUUAGAUACCCGAGUAGUCCCUGUCUCUUAUAC
Molecule: ribosomal RNA, 301 nt
Filed under: uncultured bacterium
Lineage: Bacteria
Description: partial 16S ribosomal RNA
Rfam family: Bacterial small subunit ribosomal RNA
Source: RNAcentral